This 1742-nucleotide long non-coding RNA is filed under the name Heterocephalus glaber (naked mole-rat). RNAcentral's name for it is "lncRNA (ENSHGLG00100035999.1)". Lineage: Eukaryota; Metazoa; Chordata; Mammalia; Rodentia; Bathyergidae. The record is from RNAcentral.
CUUAGCAUUCCCCAAACUAGUUAGAUCUAUCAAACCUGCUUUGCCCAUGAACACCCCUUAACAUCCUGAGAGGCUGGUGUUCCGUGGACGCCUCUGGUAAACAGCGGUUGGGUGGAGCUAACGGCCGAGUUCUUAGCCCAGCCCUGUCAAUAAGCUAAGUGGCCUUGGCUGAAUUGCAUGCCCACCGGGGCCUGCUCACCUUCCUGUUGGCACGGGAUAAGGAAGUCUGUCCUGCCUGGUCUGAGGGUUUUCCAGACAUCCAGGAAUGGAAAUUCCCCAUUUUUCCUAGGUGAUCUCUUCCAGUGUUCAGCAUUUGAGGCAUCCUGUCUCCUUUGGCUAUGAGGUCAAGAUGGUCACAUCUGCUUCUCCAGGUGGAGCUCCAACUCCAUUAGCUUCUCCCCAGGUGGGUGGAGGAGCACGAAGGUACCUGGUCCUCCUCCUUCCGUCAUGACCCAGCCCUUCCCCUUUCCCUUGCUCAGGGUCCUGGGUCCUCCUCCAGGACAGUCAGGCUGGCUUGGGGAGGAUGAGGAGGGUCACGCUGCAGCAUUUCCCUUUCCAUGUUGGGCAGUUGGUCUGGUUGGUGGUUCAGCUCCAGGAAACGUGUCAUCUGGAUCAGGGCGAUUCUCGGUGUCCCCUCUGCUCCCUGAGCUGCAGAGACACAGGGAAGACUGUGAAGAUUCUGGGGCAGACAGUGCUGGACCUGAUUCCCUGAGAACACCUCUGCCCCAUGCAAGUUUCUGAGAACGCCACCCGGAAGGGUGCGCUUUAGAGCCACAGUGGUUGGGCCAAGCCUUUGGGGCCCAGCUCUGAGAGCCACAGACUCUUCUUCUUGCUCGUCUUGUCUCCACCAGAGCCGCCUUUGCCACAGGAGCAGAGCCACAAACAGAAACGGAGCCAGCAUGGCGGAGACUGGAGCCAGGGCCCAUGAGCCGCUUUCAUCUUCUGGAAAAGCACUGGAAGGAGCCAGGGCCGGAUGGGAAGAACACAGGAGAGGGAGGUUGGAGAUGGACAGGCUGAAGACCGCUGCCCCCCAGCCCUCGCUUGUUUCACAGGUGGAGAAGCCGAGCCAAGUUGGCCACCCUCAGACCACGGCUGUUGGUAGCCCAGCUGGAACUAGAAAUGUCAUCUCGGGCCAGGGAUUUAGCUCAGUGGUUUUGCCGCCUGCUGCGCAGCGCAAUUACCCGAGUUCGAUCCCGGUACCAAAAAAAAGUAGAAAUGUCAUCUCCAGGCUCUGCAGCCCCAGCCCCUGUCCUCCUCCCCCUUCCCGAGUGCUGUGCCCACAGCAAGAAAGAGGACACUGCGGGUCAGGGACUCCGCCUUGGCAUCGGGCUCCACUACCAUCAUUCCUUGUGCUUUCAGUGUUCCUCUCUCUGGACCAUCUGCUCUUUAUCUUAACUUUAAAAAGGUCUGGAAUGUUCCAGCCUAAAACUGUGAUCAUUCUGUCAUUUAUAUUGCGCUUGCAAACUCCAUGGGAAUACGUAGGUAGCCUCCUCCCAGGGUGCACAGCACCGGUGUCUGACGUUCAUCCCUGCCCUUUACGUCCUGCAGGCACGAAGGGCCAGAACUGAGCAGAGGGAAGGGAGGUGCGGGGACCAGAGCAGAGCCUGGGCCUCACCUCUUCUCGGAGGACUCCUUGCCAGGGGGUCUCUGGGGUCGCGCUGCUGGGCCCUGACUCGUCGUUGCUUGGGGACCCUGGUCUCCAGCAGCGCUGCUGAGCUCCGCCUCGGUGCUUCCUUCCACAG